GCCUGUGUCAUUCACCCUGCUUUGUCUCCUCAAGCAGACAUUUUACCAUCUCACAUCAUCACAGGAAGAAGGACACAGGCCUGAGUUCUUGUUCUGGGUGAAGGACUUUGCAGGAGAUGUGUGACUGCUCCAGUGACCGAGUGUCCUUCUGCCCAGUUCCACAAUCUGUUUUGUGACCACCCUCAACAGUCAAUGCAUCAACACCACAAAAUUUGGGAGCUACGCCAAUAGAAGCCAUGCAAUCAUGCUGAGAACUAACCUUACAAAGAACAAGACUCAGUCGCCCGAGAAAGGGAGUGGUUUUGAACAUCUCAUGCCAGACCCUCUCCCCCUAUUCAGACUUCAGAGAGAGAACUACCUACCUACAGGCCUUGCCUUAGUGCUUUUCCCUGAAGCAGUUCAAACAGCCCAGCCUGGACAUGUAUUUGAAUCAGCGUAAACAGAGUUCGCCAAUUAAUGGGGCAAAACAGCCUUGUGUCAGUCCUGGGAAACGAUGGGCUGGAACAGCAAGGGUGAUUCAUCAGGCAGGUCACAACAAGGCCAAUGCAAAUUCUAAAAUGUUUGUUUCACUCGAACUAUGCUAUGCACUGGCAUAGUAAACACAACCUCAAAACGGUUACGUCAAAUGCUGCAAACAACAAUAUACACUUCAAACUUGCCAGAGGUGGAAGUAAAAGAAAGAUUAGCAUAAACGUCAGAGCCAAGGAUUUUAGGCCAGAGAGAAGGGGAAAACUGAGAGUUCAAUUCUGCUGUCCUCCAGAAGUUUUUUGGCGAAGGAUUAUCUAUCAAAACUGUUCUAGCCUCUUAUUUCCUACGUAAUCCCAAGCAAAUGCUGUGAGAAGAAAGGACUAGUGCCAUUGCCGAGUUGACAUGGGAGAAUGCAGAAUUUCUCUCCCAAAUCUAUUUACCCAUUACACACCUGUAUUCUGUGCGACGUACUCUUUUAUUCUUGUGAAAAACAUUUCACAUUCACACGUUCCAAUAAAACUGAAAUAAGCCA
This is a long non-coding RNA of Acinonyx jubatus (cheetah), 1000 nucleotides long. RefSeq lists it as uncharacterized. NCBI's taxonomy places the organism in Eukaryota, Metazoa, Chordata, Mammalia, Carnivora, Felidae. The record is from RefSeq and is a predicted model, not a curated record. The transcript has 3 exons.